RNAcentral lists this ribosomal RNA (253 nucleotides) under uncultured bacterium. Its description in RNAcentral is "partial 16S ribosomal RNA". It matches the Rfam family "Bacterial small subunit ribosomal RNA", at positions 524 to 776 of the family's 1533-position model. The record is from RNAcentral.
UACGAAGGGGGCAAGCGUUGCCCGGAUUUAUUGGGCGUAAAGGGCGCGUAGGCGGUGAGACACGUUCGUUGUGAAAUCGCCCGGCUCAACUGGGCGGGGUCAGCGGAUACGGUCUCACUUGAGCAAGCUAGGGCGCAAUGGAAUUCCCGGUGUAGUGGUGGAAUGCGUAGAUAUCGGGAGGAACACCAGUGGCGAAGGCGGUUGCCUGGGGCUUUGCUGACGCUGAUGCGCGAAAGCGUGGGGAGCGAUGCGG